AGCCAGGCUCCUACGGGAGGCAGCAGUGAGGAAUAUUGGUCAAUGGGCGAGAGCCUGAACCAGCCAAGUCGCGUGAAGGAUGACGGCCCUACGGGUUGUAAACUUCUUUUGUCAGGGAGCAAUUGGCGCUACGUGUAGCGUUAUCGAGAGUACCUGAAGAAAAAGCAUCGGCUAACUCCGUGCCAGCAGCCGCGGUAAUACGGAGGAUGCGAGCGUUAUCCGGAUUUAUUGGGUUUAAAGGGUGCGUAGGCGGAAUGCCAAGUCAGGGGUAAAAUCGCGGGGCUCAACCUCGCUCCGCCGUUGAAACUGGCGUUCUUGAGUGGGCGAGAAGUAUGCGGAAUGCGUGGUGUAGCGGUGAAAUGCAUAGAUAUCACGCAGAACUCCGAUUGCGAAGGCAGCAUACCGGCGCCCAACUGACGCUGAAGCACGAAAGCGUGGGUAUCGAACAGGAUUAGAUACCCUCGUA
RNAcentral lists this ribosomal RNA (466 nucleotides) under uncultured bacterium. RNAcentral describes it as "bacterial SSU rRNA". It matches the Rfam family "Bacterial small subunit ribosomal RNA", at positions 329 to 792 of the family's 1533-position model. The record is from RNAcentral.